This 560-nucleotide ribosomal RNA is filed under the name Bifidobacterium longum subsp. suillum. Its description in RNAcentral is "bacterial SSU rRNA". It matches the Rfam family "Bacterial small subunit ribosomal RNA", at positions 146 to 721 of the family's 1533-position model. The record is from RNAcentral. Lineage: Bacteria; Bacillati; Actinomycetota; Actinomycetes; Bifidobacteriales; Bifidobacteriaceae.
UCUCCUGGAAACGGGUGGUAAUGCCGGAUGCUCCAGUUGAUCGCAUGGUCUUCUGGGAAAGCUUUCGCGGUAUGGGAUGGGGUCGCGUCCUAUCAGCUUGACGGCGGGGUAACGGCCCACCGUGGCUUCGACGGGUAGCCGGCCUGAGAGGGCGACCGGCCACAUUGGGACUGAGAUACGGCCCAGACUCCUACGGGAGGCAGCAGUGGGGAAUAUUGCACAAUGGGCGCAAGCCUGAUGCAGCGACGCCGCGUGAGGGAUGGAGGCCUUCGGGUUGUAAACCUCUUUUAUCGGGGAGCAAGCGAGAGUGAGUUUACCCGUUGAAUAAGCACCGGCUAACUACGUGCCAGCAGCCGCGGUAAUACGUAGGGUGCAAGCGUUAUCCGGAAUUAUUGGGCGUAAAGGGCUCGUAGGCGGUUCGUCGCGUCCGGUGUGAAAGUCCAUCGCUUAACGGUGGAUCCGCGCCGGGUACGGGCGGGCUUGAGUGCGGUAGGGGAGACUGGAAUUCCCGGUGUAACGGUGGAAUGUGUAGAUAUCGGGAAGAACACCACCCGUUUCCA